AGUGAACGCUGGCGGUAGGCCUAACACAUGCAAGUCGAACGGCAGCACAGGAGAGCUUGCCCUCUGGGUGGCGAGUGGCGGACGGGUGAGGAAUACAUCGGAAUCUGCCCAGUCGUGGGGGAUAACGUAGGGAAACUUACGCUAAUACCGCAUACGACCUACGGGUGAAAGAGGGGGAUCGCAAGACCUCUCGCGAUUGGAUGAGCCGAUGUCGGAUUAGCUAGUUGGCGGGGUAAUGGCCCACCAAGGCGACGAUCCGUAGCUGGUCUGAGAGGAUGAUCAGCCACACUGGAACUGAGACACGGUCCAGACUCCUACGGGAGGCAGCAGUGGGGAAUAUUGGACAAUGGGCGCAAGCCUGAUCCAGCCAUACCGCGUGGGUGAAGAAGGCCUUCGGGUUGUAAAGCCCUUUUGUUGGGAAAGAAAUCUUUCAGGCUAAUACCCUGGGAGGAUGACGGUACCCAAAGAAUAAGCACCGGCUAACUUCGUG
Molecule: ribosomal RNA, 490 nt
Filed under: uncultured bacterium
Lineage: Bacteria
Description: partial 16S ribosomal RNA
Rfam family: Bacterial small subunit ribosomal RNA
Source: RNAcentral